RNAcentral lists this ribosomal RNA (310 nucleotides) under uncultured bacterium. RNAcentral's name for it is "bacterial SSU rRNA". It matches the Rfam family "Bacterial small subunit ribosomal RNA", at positions 491 to 793 of the family's 1533-position model. The record is from RNAcentral.
CACCGGCUAACUCCGUGCCAGCAGCCGCGGUAAUACGGAGGGUGCGAGCGUUAAUCGGAAUUACUGGGCGUAAAGCGCAUGCAGGUGGUUUGUUAAGUCAGAUGUGAAAGACCCCGGGGCGUCAACCUCGGAAUUGCAUUUGAAACUGGCAGACUAGAGUACUGUAGAGGGGGGUAGGAAGUUUCAGGUGUAGCGGUGAAAUGCGUAGAGAUCUGAAGGAAUACCGGUGGCGAAGGCGGCCCCCUCGGACAGAUACUGACACUCAGAUGCGAAAGCGUGGGGAGCAAACAGGAUUAGAUACCCCUGGUAG